This 831-nucleotide long non-coding RNA is filed under the name Populus trichocarpa (black cottonwood). RNAcentral's name for it is "long non-coding RNA (PTRI_LNC001455)". Lineage: Eukaryota; Viridiplantae; Streptophyta; Magnoliopsida; Malpighiales; Salicaceae. The record is from RNAcentral.
AAACGCUAUUAACUUGUGCUUCUUUGGUCUAUCAUGUUAUGUGCCAUUUAUUGGAUGGUAUGCAUGGGUACUUUAUCAUUUUGAGUAAGUGAUGAACUGGUUAAAAGAACACAAAAGGGAGGCACAUGCUUGCACAUCAGAGAACCAUGAGAGGGAAAACCAUCCAAAAACUAACAAUCUAAAUCAUCAAAAUCUGAAACACACAAGAUAAAUAAAAGUGAGAAGUACAUGACCAAGUGGAGUUCGAAGAAAGAGAAAAUUUCUUACUCGAAUAUACUUCAUCUGAUAGCGUCAGCCACUCAAAUAUACAUAGCCAAGAGAAAAGGUCAAAAAAGGAAUUCCUUGCAUACGCAAAGCAGACAAAGGAAGAAUUAAGUCCAUAAGUAGACCCAUAAGGCUAGGUUAUUAAAAUUGCUACCCUUUUUUUUUGUGGAAUGACUAUUUCUAACACAUUGAGAUGCAAGGAAGUUGUCAUAUUUAAAGUUCAUUAUGUUCUCCAGUAGCUUCAUACUCAUUUCCACAUAAAUAAUGAGAUUAUAUAUCUCAAGAUGACAUUUCCAGAUGAAAAUCCACCAAACUUUUGACAUGAACAUUGACACUGUUUUGCAAACUUCAAAUGGAUAGAAGGAGUCUGAACAAUGCAUGGUUGCAAAUUGUCAUAUAAACUAUCUAUAAAAUGCCACAUUGGGAGUUCCUAGUCAAACUUCCUAGAAGAAUGCACGCCACAUUGUGAGUUCCUAUUCAAACUUCCUAGAAGAAUGCAAUGUGAUGAACAAUUUAGUUGAGAUAGAAAGUGUUGAGCAAGUAACUGAAGCUGAAGAAGUGCAAAAA